UACGUAGGUGGCAAGCGUUGUCCGGAAUUAUUGGGCGUAAAGCGCGCGCAGGCGGUCUUUAAGUCUGAUGUGAAAGCCCACGGCUCAACCGUGGAGGGUCAUUGGAAACUGGAGGACUUGAGUACAGAAGAGGAAAGCGGAAUUCCACGUGUAGCGGUGAAAUGCGUAGAGAUGUGGAGGAACACCAGUGGCGAAGGCGGCUUUCUGGUCUGUAACUGACGCUGAGGCGCGAAAGCGUGGGGAGCAAACAGG
This 252-nucleotide ribosomal RNA is filed under the name uncultured bacterium. RNAcentral's name for it is "partial 16S ribosomal RNA". It matches the Rfam family "Bacterial small subunit ribosomal RNA", at positions 524 to 776 of the family's 1533-position model. The record is from RNAcentral.